This 428-nucleotide ribosomal RNA is filed under the name uncultured bacterium. RNAcentral describes it as "partial small subunit ribosomal RNA". It matches the Rfam family "Bacterial small subunit ribosomal RNA", at positions 26 to 518 of the family's 1533-position model. The record is from RNAcentral.
AGAAUGAAUGCUAUUGGUAUGCUUAACACAUGCAAGUCAAAUGUUUUUUAAACAUGGCGAACGGGUGCGUAAAGUGUAAAUUAUUUACCCUAUAAUUCAGCAUAAUUAAUAAUUCUGAAUAAAAAAUAAAGUUUUAAAAAACGUUAUAGGAUAAGUUUGCAUAAGAUUAGGUAGUUGGUAGUUUAAAAGACUACCAAGCCUAUGAUCUUUAGCUGAUUUGAGAGAAUGAUCAGCCACAUAGGGACUGAGACACGGCCCUAACUUUUUUUGAAGGCAGCAGUGAGGAAUAUUGGACAAUGGGCGAAAGCUUGAUCCAGCAAUACCAAGUGAGUGAAGAAGGCUAUACGGUUGUAAAUCUCUUUCGUAAAUGAAGAAAAAGACAUUAAUUUAAAAAGAAGUUACCGGACUAAUUUCGCGCCAGCAGCCGC